RNAcentral lists this unclassified non-coding RNA (247 nucleotides) under Hevea brasiliensis (rubber tree). The record is from RNAcentral. Lineage: Eukaryota; Viridiplantae; Streptophyta; Magnoliopsida; Malpighiales; Euphorbiaceae.
AAAGAAAUAAAUAUGAAAACCUCCCAAGGAUUUUCAUAAUAUAAACUUUAGCAUUUGCUAUUUCAAAAUGACCAGUUUUGGUCCUUGUAGUUUGUUAAUGACUACACUUUAGUCCUUCAUGAUAAAAUUAAGAAUUUUUUCAUUACAUUUUAGUCUCUUAUAUUUUAAUUUAGAUCACACUUUAAUCCCUCAAAAUCUUGUAAUCUUCACUAAUAGUAAUAUCAGGACUAAAAUUGCUAAUUUUGAA